GAGGGUAUAGCUCAAGCGGUAGAGCGCAUGCUUAGCAUGCACGAGGUCCUGGGUUCAAUCCUUGGUACCUCCC
RNAcentral lists this transfer RNA (73 nucleotides) under Camelus bactrianus (Bactrian camel). It matches the Rfam family "tRNA". Rfam says of the family: Transfer RNA (tRNA) molecules are approximately 80 nucleotides in length. Their secondary structure includes four short double-helical elements and three loops (D, anti-codon, and T loops). Further hydrogen bonds mediate the characteristic L-shaped molecular structure. tRNAs have two regions of fundamental functional importance: the anti-codon, which is responsible for specific mRNA codon recognition, and the 3' end, to which the tRNAs corresponding amino acid is attached (by aminoacyl-tRNA synthetases). tRNAs cope with the degeneracy of the genetic code in two manners: having more than one tRNA (with a specific anti-codon) for a particular amino acid; and 'wobble' base-pairing, i.e. permitting non-standard base-pairing at the 3rd anti-codon position. Lineage: Eukaryota; Metazoa; Chordata; Mammalia; Artiodactyla; Camelidae. RNAcentral also lists the same sequence under 2 other names. The record is from Rfam by way of RNAcentral.